Molecule: ribosomal RNA, 406 nt
Filed under: uncultured Chthonomonas sp.
Lineage: Bacteria; Bacillati; Armatimonadota; Chthonomonadia; Chthonomonadales; Chthonomonadaceae
Description: bacterial SSU rRNA
Rfam family: Bacterial small subunit ribosomal RNA
Source: RNAcentral
AUUAGGAAUCUUGCGCAAUGGGCGAAAGCCUGACGCAGCGACGUCGCGUGGGGGAGGAAGGCUUUCGGGUUGUAAACCCCUUUUGUCGAGGAAGAAACAAAUGACGGUACUCGACGAAUAAGCCCCGGCUAACUCCGUGCCAGCAGCCGCGGUAAUACGGAGGGGGCGAGCGUUGUCCGAAGUUACUGGGCGUAAAGCGCGCGUAGGCGGGUGGGUAAGUCCGCUGUGAAAGCCCGGAGCUUAACUCCGGAGGGUCGGUGGAUACUGCCAGUCUUGAAGGUGCUAGGGGGAGAUGGAAUUACCGGUGUAGCGGUGAAAUGCGUAGAUAUCGGUAGGAACACCAGUGGCGAAGGCGGUCUCCUGGGGCAUUCUUGACGCUGAGGCGCGAAAGCUGGGGGAGCAAACG